UAAACUAACAAUGAUUAAUUCAGUGAGUAAAUUGAUAGUAAUAUU
RNAcentral lists this non-coding RNA (45 nucleotides) under Trypanosoma brucei brucei. The record is from RNAcentral. Lineage: Eukaryota; Euglenozoa; Kinetoplastea; Trypanosomatida; Trypanosomatidae.